AUUGAACGCUGGCGGCAGGCCUAACACAUGCAAGUCGAGCGGAUGAAGGGAGCUUGCUCCUGGAUUCAGCGGCGGACGGGUGAGUAAUGCCUAGGAAUCUGCCUGGUAGUGGGGGAUAACGUCCGGAAACGGGCGCUAAUACCGCAUACGUCCUGAUGGAGAAAGUGGGGGAGCUUCGGACCUCACGCUAUCAGAUGAGCCUAGGUCGGUUUAGCUAGUUGGUGGGGUAAAGGCCUACCAAGGCGACGAUCCGUAACUGGUCUGAGAGGAUGAUCAGUCACACUGGAACUGAGACACGGUCCAGACUCCUACGGGAGGCAGCAGUGGGGAAUAUUGGACAAUGGGCGAAAGCCUGAUCCAGCCAUGCCGCGUGUGUGAAGAAGGUCUUCGGAUUGUAAAGCACUUUAAGUUGGGAGGAAGGGCAGUAAGUUAAUACCUUGCUGUUUUGACGUUACCAAAAGAAUAAGCACCGGCUAACUUCGUG
This 484-nucleotide ribosomal RNA is filed under the name uncultured bacterium. Its description in RNAcentral is "partial 16S ribosomal RNA". It matches the Rfam family "Bacterial small subunit ribosomal RNA", at positions 30 to 507 of the family's 1533-position model. The record is from RNAcentral.